AAGGAAUAUUGGUCAAUGGGGGCAACCCUGAACCAGCCAUGCCGCGUGCAGGAUGACUGCCCUAUGGGUUGUAAACUGCUUUUGUUAGGGAAUAAACCCCGCUACGUGUAGCGGGCUGAAUGUACCUAAAGAAUAAGGAUCGGCUAACUCCGUGCCAGCAGCCGCGGUAAUACGGAGGAUCCGAGCGUUAUCCGGAUUUAUUGGGUUUAAAGGGUGCGUAGGCGGCACUUUAAGUCAGGGGUGAAAGACGGCAGCUCAACUGUCGCAGUGCCCUUGAUACUGAAGUGCUUGAAUGCGGUUGAAGACGGCGGAAUGAGACAAGUAGCGGUGAAAUGCAUAGAUAUGUCUCAGAACACCGAUUGCGAAGGCAGCUGUCUAAGCCGUUAUUGACGCUGAUGCACGAAAGCGUGGGGAUCGAAC
This 420-nucleotide ribosomal RNA is filed under the name uncultured bacterium. RNAcentral describes it as "bacterial SSU rRNA". It matches the Rfam family "Bacterial small subunit ribosomal RNA", at positions 356 to 773 of the family's 1533-position model. The record is from RNAcentral.